Non-coding RNA from Punica granatum (pomegranate), 999 nucleotides. The record is from RefSeq and is a predicted model, not a curated record. Lineage: Eukaryota; Viridiplantae; Streptophyta; Magnoliopsida; Myrtales; Lythraceae.
UCCCCUCUGCUCUCUCUCUCUCUCUCUCUCUCUCUCUCUCUCUCUCUUCACUCCGCUCGCCGGCUCGAGUCAUCAUAACCAGAGGAUUGAAUUCGAUCGAAAUUGGAGAAAUUUCGCUCGACUCCAAUUGAAGAAAUGCGGCCUCCGCCGCGGCACGGCAACGACUCCUCAUCCUCCGGAAACACCUUCUACAAAGAGGAAGCCGACAAGCGACAAUGAUUCCCCAGCAAUGACCCUUCCCUUGCUUCUUCCUCUUCUUCGUCUUCGUCUGCUCCUUCCACUACUCUUCGCUUCCCGUUUUUGACGUAGCAUGGUCGGCUUCAUUUUAGAGUACAUGGGUCAGAAUCAGCAACGCAACCUUUCCGAGAAUGACCUCAUGAAGUCAUUCUUGAAUAUGCCAACUUUAGAGAGCUUAAUGCGCUUCCCGCUGAAUGCAAAGUGUUGCCUGCACCAGGAUUGAAUCGCUAAAUGUCAUCGGGAAGACAAACUGGAAAUCAGAGAAAACAGGAAGAGCAAGUAAGCUGUAAGAUAUCCUAACAGCAGACAGCCGUAGAUAAUGCAGGACUCUUCGGGCACAAUAACAGGUAUGCCAGUGCUACGUGCUUCGGUCCUUCGUACUUGGGGAAGGACAGGUCCUCUUGAUGCUAUGAUGGCAUAUGGACCGAACUGUUUGACGAGGUUCCAAUCCCAGCUCACGUGUGUUCAUUCGUAAUCGGAAACUGAUACUCUAAAGAUGAUGGCUUUAUUAUAGUAUUGAUACUUGGGAUCGGAUCAUUAAGAAAACAAAUUUAACAGGAGAACUUGAUCAAAAUCGAUCUUCUUCAUGGAAAGCAUGACAUAUUCUACUCGAGAGAAGAUAGUUGCGGAUUUGUGAUUUUGACAAUGAUUUGUAUGAUCCGUUUCUUUGAGCACCCGAUUAAUGUGCUUGUAUAUGGAGAACGCGAUAAACAUAUGAUAUGACUAAUUCGAUUGUGCUUCCCACACAGACAAAUUCGACCA